Molecule: ribosomal RNA, 474 nt
Filed under: uncultured bacterium
Lineage: Bacteria
Description: bacterial SSU rRNA
Rfam family: Bacterial small subunit ribosomal RNA
Source: RNAcentral
ACGAACGCUGGCGGCGUGCCUAACACAUGCAAGUCGAGCGAGGAGAUUCCUUCGGGAUGAUCCUAGCGGCGGACGGGUGAGUAACACGUGGGCAACCUGCCUCAUAGAGAGGAAUAGCCUUCCGAAAGGGAGAUUAAUACCUCAUAACAUUGCAGUUUCGCAUGGAACAGCAAUUAAAGGAGCAAUCCGCUAUGAGAUGGGCCCGCGGCGCAUUAGCUAGUUGGUGAGGUAACGGCUCACCAAGGCGACGAUGCGUAGCCGACCUGAGAGGGUGAUCGGCCACAUUGGGACUGAGACACGGCCCAGACUCCUACGGGAGGCAGCAGGUGGGGAAUAUUGCACAAUGGGGGAAACCCUGAUGCAGCCAACGCCGCGUGAGUGAUGACGGCCUUCGGGUUGUAAAGCUCUGUCUUCAGGGACGAUAAUGACGGUACCUGAGGAGAAAGCCACGGCUAACUACGUGCCAGCAGCUGC